AUUGAACGCUGGCGGUAUGCUUAACACAUGCAAGUCGAACGGCAGCACGAGGAGCUUGCUCCUUGGUGGCGAGUGGCGGACGGGUGAGUAAUACUUAGGAAUCUAUCCAGUAGUUGGGGAUAACGUGUGGAAACGCACGCUAAUACCGAAUACGCACUAUGGUGGAAAGAGGGGGCUCUUCGGACCUCUCGCUAUCGGGUGAGCCUAAGCCGGAUUAGCUAGUUGGUGGGGUAAAGGCCUACCAAGGCGACGAUCCGUAGCUGGUCUGAGAGGACGAUCAGCCACACUGGGACUGAGACACGGCCCAG
Molecule: ribosomal RNA, 308 nt
Filed under: uncultured bacterium
Lineage: Bacteria
Description: bacterial SSU rRNA
Rfam family: Bacterial small subunit ribosomal RNA
Source: RNAcentral